GAUGAACGCUGGCGGCGUGCCUAAUACAUGCAAGUCGAGCGAACAGACGAGGAGCUUGCUCCUCUGACGUUAGCGGCGGACGGGUGAGUAACACGUGGAUAACCUACCUAUAAGACUGGGAUAACUUCGGGAAACCGGAUCUAAUCCCGUAUAAUAUAUUGAACCGCAUGGUUCAAUAGUGAAAGACGGUUUUGCUGUCACUUAUAGAUGGAUCCGCGCCGCAUUAGCUAGUUGGUAAGGUAACGGCUUACCAAGGCGACGAUGCGUAGACGACCUGAGAGGGUGAUAGGCCACACUGGAACUGAGACACGGUCCAGACUCCUACGGGAGGGAGCAGUAGGGAAUCUUCCGCAAUGGGCGAAAGCCUGACGGAGCAACGCCGCGUGAGUGAUGAAGGUCUUCGGAUCGUAAAACUCUGUUAUUAGGGAAGAACAAAUGUGUAAGUAACUAUGCACGUCUUGACGGUACCUAAUCAGAAAGCCACGGCUAACUACGUG
Molecule: ribosomal RNA, 497 nt
Filed under: uncultured bacterium
Lineage: Bacteria
Description: partial 16S ribosomal RNA
Rfam family: Bacterial small subunit ribosomal RNA
Source: RNAcentral